This 274-nucleotide ribosomal RNA is filed under the name uncultured bacterium. RNAcentral describes it as "partial 16S ribosomal RNA". It matches the Rfam family "Bacterial small subunit ribosomal RNA", at positions 523 to 796 of the family's 1533-position model. The record is from RNAcentral.
AUACGGAGGGUGCGAGCGUUAAUCGGAAUUACUGGGCGUAAAGCGCGCGUAGGCGGCUUGGUCAGUCGGAUGUGAAAGCCCCGGGCUCAACCUGGGAAUGGCAUUCGAUACUGCCAGGCUAGAGUAUGGGAGAGGGAAGUGGAAUUUCCGGUGUAGCGGUGAAAUGCGUAGAUAUCGGAAGGAACACCAGUGGCGAAGGCGACUUCCUGGCCCAAUACUGACGCUGAGGUGCGAAAGCGUGGGGAGCGAACAGGAUUAGAAACCCUAGUAGUCC